UACGUAGGGGGCAAGCGUUGUCCGGAAUUAUUGGGCGUAAAGAGCGUGUAGGCGGUCCGAUAAGUCGGUUGUGAAAGUCAAGGGCUCAACCCUUGAAUGCCGACCGAUACUGUCGGGCUAGAGUCCGGAAGAGGCGAGUGGAAUUCCCGGUGUAGCGGUGAAAUGCGCAGAUAUCGGGAGGAACACCAAUCGCGAAGGCAGCUCGCUGGGACGGUACUGACGCUGAGACGCGAAAGCGUGGGGAGCAAACAGG
This 253-nucleotide ribosomal RNA is filed under the name uncultured bacterium. RNAcentral's name for it is "partial 16S ribosomal RNA". It matches the Rfam family "Bacterial small subunit ribosomal RNA", at positions 524 to 776 of the family's 1533-position model. The record is from RNAcentral.